AAGCCAGCGGCGUACGGACAGCAGAACUAUGUUUCACCUUGUCCUAUUCGCCUUUUUGUUUCAACCUACUAUAUGCCAGACCCAGGCAUGUGGUGAUGGUUUCUAUGGUGAUGACUGCAGACCUUGUGGCCAUUGUGCUAAUGGUGCUUUCUGUGACAAGUCUUCUGGAUACUGUCCCUACAACAGCCCUCGAUGUGGCCCAGGGUAUACGGGUAUACUAUGUCAGACAGAAUGUGGUGAUGGUUUUUAUGGUGAGGACUGCAGACAAGACUUUUGGUUUCUGUCCUUCC
Molecule: long non-coding RNA, 290 nt
Organism: Branchiostoma belcheri (Belcher's lancelet)
Lineage: Eukaryota; Metazoa; Chordata; Leptocardii; Amphioxiformes; Branchiostomatidae
Exons: 3
Source: RefSeq, a predicted model, not a curated record